This is a long non-coding RNA of Arachis duranensis, 1393 nucleotides long. RefSeq lists it as uncharacterized. Lineage: Eukaryota; Viridiplantae; Streptophyta; Magnoliopsida; Fabales; Fabaceae. The transcript is spliced from 7 exons. The record is from RefSeq and is a predicted model, not a curated record.
UGAGUUUUCAAAACUCACCGAGGUAGAGAAAAGAGAAGAGAAUGGCCAUCGACAAAACCCUAAGUUCUCUACCAUCGGUGUAGCUGUCGUUACAUUCGUCGGUUCACCGCCGUUGCAGUCGCCUGGUUCCGCCGCCGUUGCCGCUACAGUUGUCGCAAGAAGCUCAUGAAUCGAGCCACCUCCUCUAUCAACAUUAUGGUUUCAGAUCUGGUUGCUCUGUAGCUAUGGUUGCCGAUGCAGCUUCCGCCACCGUUGUCGCCGCAGUUUUCGCCAACUUUGUCGCGUUAUUCUUAGCUACUCAAGAAUACUUAGCCAAUUCUUAGUUGCAAAUGGCAUUUAGUCUUUUUGUUGUUGAAAUAUUAGAUUCCAUUAUAAGGUGUAAUUUUGGAAUUCUUUAAUAUAAAAUGUGUUCAUUAUAAGGUGUAAUUAAUAGUGUAACUAAGGAGUGGCAAAAUUGGAUGAUUUUAUAGUAAAAAAGGAAAAGUGAAAUAAAGAGAGAAGGAAUGAGGAAGAGAGUGAGUCACAUGGGGUGGGGUAGCGAUGAAGACUUGGGUGCAAGGAAAAUGAAAAAGGCAGGUAUGAUUUAAUCAAAAGGAGGUUAAUUAAUUAAUAUAAUACCACAGUGUUAAGCAAAGCAUGGGGAAAUAAAUCCAAUUAAGAAAAGGAGCAAAAAAUAAAGUCAUUGUUAAUAAAAAAGUGUCCUAAUCUUGUUGGACUCCCCAACGGCUCCGCUCUGUUGGAGUCCUUCAUAGCAGCAUCAAGUUCAAUCAAUUUGAAGAUUUCAGGCAGAAAAGCUUAUAUGAGAUACUUGGAUAAUAUUUACAAGCAGAACGACAUCUCUUGAUUUAUGCCUGUGGAGAUCUUCAAGCUUUGGUAUGGCCAUGUGAUUGCUGAAGCCAUCUUGCAAAUUGCAAACUUCUCUAAAAGUCUCUUUUGGUGGAGGCAUAGGUAGCUUGGUUACGUUCUUGAUACAAUUGAUCAUGGCGUCAGUCUGAAAUACCACAAUAGGGUUAUUCAAGUCAGAUAAAUGCCAUCUUCUCUUUGCAGUAGGAAUACUUCCUAAAGGAUAUAAUCUUUCUAGUUUGGAUGCUUUCAAGAAGGAGGGAUCCCUUAAUGUUCAAGCUGGCACUGCUUUUGUUGAUUUGAGUUUAUUGAAGAGGCUAAUGAUGUUGAAAGCAAGCCUACUAUUCCCUUUGAUGCUAGAAGAUCAGCUAGUGAUAGCAACGGACAUUCGAGAACAAAUAUUUGAGACUUUUAUGUAAUUAGAUGGUAUUGAAAUAUUGAAGUUGUUGUUUUAUUUUACUUUAAAAAAAACAUUAAUAAUUAUGUAAAACAAUAUCAUAUGCAAUUAUGUUUGGAACUAAUUGACAUUGAGAAUUUUUUUUUUUUUAUA